Molecule: long non-coding RNA, 1297 nt
Organism: Brassica rapa (field mustard)
Lineage: Eukaryota; Viridiplantae; Streptophyta; Magnoliopsida; Brassicales; Brassicaceae
Source: RefSeq, a predicted model, not a curated record
AUAGACAGCACCGCACAAGAGGAGAGAGAGCUAGAGAGCAUGCAAGCCAUGGAAACCCUAACAAGCUAUGCCAGAAAUUAAGAUCUACUGAAUGAGCACAACAAAAACUCAGAUUCAAUAGAUCUCAGCAGAGCAGGAGUAUUUCGAGCAAACUCCACUCGACCAGUCUUUGGAAAUCAUUUCUCAGAAGAUGCACAUGCCGUGUGUUGCUGCUGAUUUUUGAGUUUGUAAUCAACCAAACACUAUGCUUUUCAUAUGUUCAUCUCUGCACUUCUUCAGCUAUGUGAUAGCUGAGACAUGUUAAUUAGACAAUUAGCCAGAUUUGUAUUGGAAGAUGAAGAUGCAGCCAAAAGGGUCUGACGGACUCCUUUUACCCUACAUGGAAACCAGAACUACAUAGAGAUCCCUAGAGGCAUUGCAGUGGUUGGGACAAUGUAUGGGGUAACUAACUUCUUCAAUGUUUCUCUGAAUACAGUGUUAUGCUCUCACAUAAAUUUGAAGAGUUUUUAAUGUAUUGUUUGUUUACCAUGAAAGCAGUUGGUUAUGAUUGGAAAUACAAUUUAAGUUGUGCAGAGCCCUCCAAUGCAGUCUGGGAUUUUCAAAUCCAGUCUCUUUUUUUUAUCUUUCAUCACUCUCUCUCUUCACAGCUUGCUCAAUAAAAGGGAAAAUGAAGUUGUCAGUGUUGUAAAUACAAUUCUGGUGGUAUAUUCAAGGUGUAAGUGGUCACUGGUCAAGAAUAUGUGUGCUCUCAAAAGAAACAGAGGAAGCUGAAGAAUAGCCCAUAUUCUUCUCCAAACACAGACCUGGCUCUCUCCUGAUCCUUCGAGCUGAGGUUCAAUGUGGAAGGACGAGAAACCAACCAUGGUCUCAUGAGAAUUUUCAAUGAUCCUUCCAAGGAUAUAACGUUCUAUGUGGAGUUGAAAUACUUUCAUUUGUUUAAAGCUGCCAAAGAAGGAGGAUGGUUGGGACUACAAUACUGUUUAUAUAUGGUUUGAUUUCUUUCUACACCAUAAUACUCCUGCGUUACUGUCUCGACAGUGAGUUUGACCUCAAGACCUAUCCCGACAGUGCCCAAGCUGCGUUUCUACCACGUGACGUAUCUUUGUCUCGGUAAGGGGCUAAUAUUUUCAAAAAGUUCUGAAUCUACCUUUAUAGUAAAGGUUAUAAAAGUUAAGAACCAUAUAACAGAAAUAUGAUUUGCCUUUGGGCUUUCGAACAAAUGGAACAACUGAAAAGCUAUGGGUAGCAAGUAGAUCAGUUAGUAAAUCUCUCACUAAUAAAUCCCUAAUUGCUAUCA